RNAcentral lists this long non-coding RNA (475 nucleotides) under Jatropha curcas. RNAcentral describes it as "long non-coding RNA (JCUR_LNC002928)". The record is from RNAcentral. Lineage: Eukaryota; Viridiplantae; Streptophyta; Magnoliopsida; Malpighiales; Euphorbiaceae.
AGCAAUAAUAAUUGCAGUCAUAAUCAUGCUACACUCAUUCUUAAACUAUAAUCAAAGAAUUCAUGAAAAUAUACUGAAACAGGGUCAAAAAUCAAUUUACCUAGCUAUAGAAUGUGUGGAAAAUUGAAUAUUUCCGGUUAAAAUGACCGAAAAUAGCUCGAAUGCUCAAAACCGAUACUGUUGGUGCGAACCUGGAUGGAACUGACGAGGACUGUGGCCGACAAAGCUAUUAGCGUCAUUAGGAAGGUCUAAUCGGCCGGUCUUUGGUUGAUCUUGCCGGAGAAUCGAAGAGAGGAGCUGCAGGAGACUGUGCCGAUCGGAAUAGCACAGCUCUCCUUUGCUGCGCCAGCGGAAACAGAGAGAAAAGGAAACUGGAGGUGGAGGAGUGGUGGUCGAAGGUGGAGGAGUGGUGGUUGAAGGCGCUGGUCUCAGGUGAUUGGAAAAACGAGAGAGGGAAGGAGGAGGGGGGGUCGCG